UACGGAGGAUGCGAGCGUUAUCCGGAUAUAUUGGGUUUAAAGGGUGCGUAGGCGGACUGUCAAGUCAGCGGUAAAAUUGAGAGGCUCAACCUCUUCCCGCCGUUGAAACUGGUGGUCUUGAGUGGAUGAGAAGUACGCGGAAUGCGUGGUGUAGCGGUGAAAUGCAUAGAUAUCACGCAGAACUCCGAUUGCGAAGGCAGCGUACCGGCAUCCAACUGACGCUGAGGCACGAAAGCGUGGGGAUCAAACAGG
RNAcentral lists this ribosomal RNA (252 nucleotides) under uncultured bacterium. Its description in RNAcentral is "partial 16S ribosomal RNA". It matches the Rfam family "Bacterial small subunit ribosomal RNA", at positions 524 to 776 of the family's 1533-position model. The record is from RNAcentral.